GAUGAACGCUGGCGGCGUGCCUAAUACAUGCAAGUCGAGCGAACAGACGAGGAGCUUGCUCCUCUGACGUUAGCGGCGGACGGGUGAGUAACACGUGGAUAACCUACCUAUAAGACUGGGAUAACUUCGGGAAACCGGAGCUAAUACCGGAUAAUAUAUUGAACCGCAUGGUUCAAUAGUGAAAGACGGUUUUGCUGUCACUUAUAGAUGGAUCCGCGCCGCAUUAGCUAGUUGGUAAGGUAACGGCUUACCAAGGCAACGAUGCGUAGCUGACCUGAGAGGGUGAUAGGCCACACUGGAACUGAGACACGGUCCAGACUCCUAGGGGAGGAAGCAGGAGGGAAACUGCAGAAAUGGGCGAAAGCCUGACGAAGCAACGCCGCGUGAGUGAUGAAGGUCUUCGGAUCGUAAGACUCUGUUAUUAGGGAAGAACAAAUGUGGAAGUAACUAUGCACGUCUUGACGGUACCUAAUCAGAAAGCCACGGCUAACUACGGG
Molecule: ribosomal RNA, 497 nt
Filed under: uncultured bacterium
Lineage: Bacteria
Description: partial 16S ribosomal RNA
Rfam family: Bacterial small subunit ribosomal RNA
Source: RNAcentral